Molecule: ribosomal RNA, 395 nt
Filed under: uncultured bacterium
Lineage: Bacteria
Description: bacterial SSU rRNA
Rfam family: Bacterial small subunit ribosomal RNA
Source: RNAcentral
UAACAUCCGGAAACGGGUGCUAAUACCGCAUAGUUUUCUUUGAUCGCAUGAUCGGGAAAGGAAAGACGGCCUUUGUGCUGUCGCUUAUGGAUGGACCCGCGGCGUAUUAGUUAGUUGGUGAGGUAAUGGCUCACCAAGACGAUGAUACGUAGCCGACCUGAGAGGGUGAUCGGCCACAUUGGGACUGAGACACGGCCCAAACUCCUACGGGAGGCAGCAGUAGGGAAUCUUCCGCAAUGGACGAAAGUCUGACGGAGCAACGCCGCGUGAGUGAAAAGAAGGUUUUUCGGAUCGUAAAACUCUGUUGUCAAAGAAGAACAAGUUGGAGAGUAACUGCUCCAGCCUUGUACGGUAUCUGACCAGAAAGCCACGGCUAACUACGUGCCAGCCGCUGC